GUGGAAGAGGACAGAGUUAGUUUCCUGGGAUUUGGAAGGUGUGGUGAGCGCGAUGGCUUUUCACCCUAGCGCGGAUGAGACGCUGUCGAUACGGCAUGGAUUCAGGUGUGUUCCUGAGAAUGGAGUUAAAGUGGAGGAAGUUAGUCAGUGAACAGGUAGGAGCUGAAUUUAUACAUUCCGCUUCCAGAAUGAACAAAGCUGUGGUUGUGUUCAUGAAAAGAGCAAAUUUGGUUGGUAGGCUAAUUGCUAGUGGAAUAUUUGUAAGGGAUGUGUUGGUGCCAGUUUCACCUCUCUCUACCCCUUCGACAAGGGUGGUAGUUGCAAAUUUGCCUCCGUUUAUUACGGAUGAUCAAAUCAGGAAAGAGCUGAGUGGUUUUGGUAAGUUUGCUAGUGGGUUUCGUGUACUGUCGGCAGGUUUUCAGACAGAUGCCGUUAAGCACGUUGUUUCAUUCUGGAGGCAAGUGUUUAUGUUUCUGAACAACAAUGAGCAACAGCUAAAUGUGCAUUUUAAAGUGAGGCAUGGGGAGGGGCUCUAUGCAGGGUUUGCCAGCACAGAUAGUCUACGGUGUUUUGAGUGUGGGGAUUUGGGGCAUAAGAGCUUUGUGUGCCCACAUAAAGGGCAUAGACAAGGUGAGGGUACAAGCGCCCCCGGUGGGGGAAAUCGAGGUCAACGUGAAGGGGACAAUGAGACGCAGGUAGCAGAGGCUGGGCAUAGUCAUGCCAGUGAUGGUGGUGUAGAUGAGUCUGGGCCUAGUCAUGCCAUGGAUGGUGGUGUAGAUGAGGCUGGGUCUAGUCAUGCUAUGGAUGGCGGUGUAGAUGAGGCUGGGUCUAGUCAGGUGAUGGAUGGUGGUGUAGAUGAGGCUGGGUCUAGUCAUGCUACAGAUGGCGGUGUAGAUGAGGCUGGGUCUAGUCAGGCUAUAGAUGGUGGUGUAGAUGAGGCUGGGUCUAGUCAGGCUAGAGAUGGUGGUGUAGAUGAGGCUGGGUCUAGUCAGGUUAUGGAUGGUGGUGUAGAUGAGGCUGGGUCUAGUCAUGCUACAGAUGGUGGUGUAGAUGAGGCUGGGUCUAGUCAUGCCAUGGAUGGUGGUGUAGAUGAGGCUGGGUCUAGUCAUGCUACAGAUGGUGGUGUAGAUGAGGCUGGGUCUAGUCAUGCUAGAGAUGGUGGUGUAGAUGAGGCUGGGUUUAGUCAUGUUAUAGAUGGUGGUGUAGAUGAGGCUGGGUCUAGUCAUGCCAUGGAUGGUGGUGUAGAUGAUGCUGGGUCUAGUCAUGCUAGAGAUGGUGGUAUAGAUGAGGCUGGGUCUAGUCAGGUUAUAGAUGGUGGUGUAGAUGAGGCUGGGUCUAGUCAUGCUAGAGAUGGUGGUGUAGAUGAGGCUGGGUUUAGUCAUGUUAUAGAUGGUGGUGUAGAUGAGGCUGGGUCUAGUCAGGUUAUGGAUGGUGGUGUAGAUGAGGCUGGGUCUAGUCAUGCUACAGAUGGUGGUGUAGAUUAGGCUGGGUCUAGUCAUGCCAUGGAUGGUGGUGUAGAUGAGGCUGGGUCUAGUCAUGCUACAGAUGGUGGUGUAGAUGAGGCUGGGUCUAGUCAUGCUAGAGAUGGUGGUGUAGAUGAGGCUGGGUUUAGUCAUGUUAUAGAUGGUGGUGUAGAUGAGGCUGGGUCUAGUCAGGUUAUAGAUGGUGGUGUAGAUGAUGCUGGGUCUAGUCAUGCUAGAGAUGGUGGUAUAGAUGAGGCUGGGUCUAGUCAGGUUAUAGAUGGUGGUGUAGAUGAGGCUGGGUCUAGUCAGGUUAUAGAUGGUGGUGUAGAUGAGGCUGGGUCUAGUCAGGUUAUGGAUGGUGGUGUAGAUGAGGCUGGGUCUAGUCAGGUUAUGGAUGGUAGUGUAGAUGAGGCUGGGUCUAGUCAGGUUAUGGAUGGUAGUGUAGAUGAGGCUGGGUCUAGUCAGGUUAUGGAUGGUGGUGUAGAUGAGACUGGGUCUAGUCAGGUUAUAGAUGGUGGUAUAGAUGAGGCUGGGUCUAGUCAGGUUAUAGAUGGUGGUGUAGAUGAUGCUGGGUCUAGUCAGGUUAUGGAUGGUGGUGUAGAUGAGGCUGGGUCUAGUCAGGUUAUGGAUGUAGUGUAGAUGAGGCUGGGUCUAGUCAGGUUAUAGAUGGUGGUGUAGAUGAUGCUGGGUCUAGUCAGGUUAUGCUAGUGGAUGAGGAGAGUAUAGUGGGGAAGUGUAAGAAACUAGGGGGGAGGAGGAGGGUGUCAAGAGAAAAAGGGUGUGGUCAAAGGCACCAUGGAACCUUUGCCUGGUGCUGGGGGAGGCCCUGACUAGAGAGGAAGGGCAGGUGGUCAGGAUUGGAGAUGGAGAUGAGGAGGAGGAAAGUGAGUCUGAGGAAGAGGAUGAUGAGGAGGCCUUUUCUUCAGACUCCUCUUCAAUGGGUCCGGAGCUGACAGCCAGUCAAGCAGAGGGGUCAAAGUAUACGGUGAGAGAACUGACAAGGUUCCUGAAUGAGACCAAGGUGGAAAAAGUUAAUCUUGAGGAUUUUUUUUCUGAUCCGAGAAAGUUUGUAAGAUCAGUACAACAUGCUAUGACAAAUGAGGGGCAUGGUGUCCUCUCACCCAGGAAACGGUUUAGGUUGAGGAAGUGGGUCACAACAGUGCGUAAGGGUCUACCUUCAGACACUGUUUAGAUGUAUAGCUUCUUUCUGGCAAUGUGGUUUUUUGAGCUUUGCUAUUGGUCUCUUUCUUUGCUGGCUUUUCUCCCACUUCUUAUGGAGACUCUUCGGGUAGGAUCGCUCAAUAUAAAUGGCGCCAGAGAUGCGGGAAAGAGGAGCGUGCUGGGUGAAUAUGUGAAACCAAAAAAAAGUACAGGUAUUGUUUCUGCAGGAGACGCAUAGUGAUAUGGUGAAUGAAGUCGAUUGGGGGCUCUGGUGGAAAGGGGCAAGUGUGUUGAGCCAUGGGACAAAUCUUAGUGCAGGGGUGGCAGUCCUUUUUGUACCGGGUCUAUCUGUAAAAAUUUGCUCCUCAAAAUUGGGGUGUAGGGUAGGCUGGUUGUUGUAAAAGCAGAAAUUAACAACAGGUGUUUUGUCCUUAUAAAUGUGUAUGCCCCUAACACAGGGAGAGAGAUGGUGCUUCUGUUUGGGUGUCUUAGACAGGAACACUCUAAUUUUUGGUGACUUUAAUAUUCACAUGAAAGUCCACAGACCCACUCCAAAAGGCUUGCGGAGCCAUCAUCGACUCAGUGGGUUUUGUCCAACAUGUCUCUGGACCUACUCACUGCCACAGUGGAUCUUAAUGUUUUUCCUCAUAAUCCUGGACUAUCGGACCACCAUUUUAUUACGUUUGCAAUCGCAACAAAUAAUCUGCUCAGACCCCAACCAAGGAGCAUCAAAAGUCGUGCUAUAAAUUCUCAG
Molecule: long non-coding RNA, 3378 nt
Filed under: Salmo salar (Atlantic salmon)
Lineage: Eukaryota; Metazoa; Chordata; Actinopteri; Salmoniformes; Salmonidae
Description: lncRNA (ENSSSAG00000111930.1)
Source: RNAcentral